This 434-nucleotide ribosomal RNA is filed under the name uncultured bacterium. RNAcentral describes it as "partial 16S ribosomal RNA". It matches the Rfam family "Bacterial small subunit ribosomal RNA", at positions 29 to 507 of the family's 1533-position model. The record is from RNAcentral.
AGCGAACGCUGGCGGCAGGCCUAACACAUGCGAGUCGAACGAACCUUUCGGGGUUAGUGGCGGACGGGUGAGUAACACGUGGGAACGUGCCUUUAGGUUCGGAAUAACUCAGGGAAACUUGUGCUAAUACCGAAUGUGCCCUUCGGGGGAAAGAUUUAUCGCCUUUAGAGCGGCCCGCGUCUGAUUAGCUAGUUGGUUGAGGUAAUGGCUCACCAAGGCGACGAUCAGUAGCUGGUCUGAGAGGAUGAUCAGCCACAUUGGGACUGAGACACGGCCCAAACUCCUACGGGAGGCAGCAGUGGGGAAUCUUGCGCAAUGGGCGAAAGCCUGACGCAGCCAUGCGGCGUGAAUGAUGAAGGUCUUAGGAUUGUAAAAUUCUUUCACCGGGGACGAUAAUGACGGUACCCGGAGAAGAAGCCCCGGCUAACUUCGUG